Molecule: ribosomal RNA, 415 nt
Filed under: Pectobacterium carotovorum
Lineage: Bacteria; Pseudomonadati; Pseudomonadota; Gammaproteobacteria; Enterobacterales; Pectobacteriaceae
Description: bacterial SSU rRNA
Rfam family: Bacterial small subunit ribosomal RNA
Source: RNAcentral
AUCCUGGCUCAGUAUGACGCUGGCGGCAGGCCUAACACAUGCUAGUCGAGCGGUAGCACAGAGGAGCUUGCUCCUUGGGUGACGAGCGGCGGACGGGUGAGUAAUGUCUGGGAAACUGCCUGAUGGAGGGGGAUAACUACUGGAAACGGUAGCUAAUACCGCAUAACCUCGCAAGAGCAAAGAGGGGGACCUUCGGGCCUCUCGCCAUCAGAUGUGCCCAGAUGGGAUUAGCUAGUAGGUGAGGUAAUGGCUCACCUAGGCGACGAUCCCUAGCUGGUCUGAGAGGAUGACCAGCCACACUGGAACUGAGACACGGUCCAGACUCCUACGGGAGGCAGCAGUGGGGAAUAUUGCACAAUGGGCGCAAGCCUGAUGCAGCCAUGCCGCGUGUGUGAAGAAGGCCUUCGGGUUGUAA